RNAcentral lists this unclassified non-coding RNA (265 nucleotides) under Hevea brasiliensis (rubber tree). Lineage: Eukaryota; Viridiplantae; Streptophyta; Magnoliopsida; Malpighiales; Euphorbiaceae. The record is from RNAcentral.
CUGUACCCCAUGCAUGCUUCACUCUCGUGCUACAGAAGGGCAGUCUCCAGCAUGUGUACCAGAGAUCAGAAUGAAUCGUGUGGCUUCAGUUUCUUCUGAUUUUAUCUGCCCAGUUACCUGUAGCCCAUUUCCUUCCGUUGCAAUCCCUUUAUGCACCUGCAAUGAUGGCCCAUGUCCAUCUUUUGAACCUCGAACUGUAGAAACUCAAGGUGAAUCACCUCGUCGUUCUCAAACAACAUCUGUAGAUCAGGAUAAAAUUGAAGGG